UAGAGCGGAAAAGGGGACUCUCAAGAGUGCGGGCCUCAGGAGGAAGGGCGGGGCUUCCACCGAGCGAGGGCGGGACCUCAGGACGUGGGGCGUGGCUCCCGGCCCAUGGGGCGGUGCCAAUGGAAGGGCUCUCCACCGCCCGGGCGGGGCCUACGGACGGCAGCGGACAGUAGGUGGAGGGCGCCUUCGCGACGGCGGGCGGGGCCUCCAGGGUUGAACUAGGGGGUGCGGCCUCAGGAAGUCCCUGCUAGGACCUGGGCCUGGCGGAGGCGGGGAUGUCAGGGGCCAUGGAGUGCGAGGAUGGGGCGGGGCUUCUCGCGACAGAGCGGGACUCGGGGUCGGUGGACUGACCCGCGCACUCGGAUCCCGGCCCUGCUUUGUGAGCCGGCAGGCUGCGCGCUGGCCUUGCUGGAUGCUGAGACAGCGAACCGCCGCCGCAACUGCGCGUCGGAAGGGAAGGCGGCCUAGGUCCCUGCGGCGCCGAGACCUACCCUGGGGCCUCCCACCUGGGGACUUCCCUCCCUCCCCGGCCUCCCGAUCGAGCGUCUUCUCCCGCAGAUCUGGGGCAGCCUAGGACGAGUGAAGUGGGACAGGUGUCAGGGGUGGCAGGUCCCCUGGGACUCUGGCCAGGUACUUUACCCUCCCGCCUGGGUUGGCACUGCGUGCUCUGGGCAAGGUCCGGUCCCUCCUCUGCCCGCCAGCUACCAGCUGUGACCCCAAGCUGAGAACCGGUAUCUGCUUCUCCACCCCCAACCGGCGACGCCGCUCUCCAAUGCCAAGGCAGGUUCUACCGCAGGACCUUUGCCCACGCAGGUUCCUCUCUGUACACUGAUGUCCCCUAGCUUCUCCUCUCCAAGAUCCAAACUCAUGGUCAGGUCUCCUCCAAAUGGCCCCCAGCUCCCAUCUCUUUCUGGGUUUGUUUGUUUUGUUUUGAGACAAGUUCUAGCUUUGUAUACCAGGCUGGCCUCAAUCUCACAAAGAUCUGCCUGACUUUGCCUCGACUGCUAGGAUUAAAGGUGUGCGCCACCGCACCUGGCCUGUUUCACAGGCCCCCCUCUCAUGUCGCAGGUGCUCCAAAAACCAUGGAGGUUCUCAACCCGCAAAGACGGGACAUCCACAGCUGUUUAUUUUCACAACACAAACUAAUGUAAACCGUGCCAUGCCCCCAGGCUUUGUUUAUUCAUCUGUAAACCUAGGAUUCCUCGAACACGACGUUCUAGUGAGCUUUUGAACUCACCAGAAGCCAGCCUACAGGAAUGUCAGUGCCAGCCAUUUUGUUGGCGUUGGCCGACAGGCAGUGAGCUCCCUGGAAUCCGGACAUGCAAGCUGGCUCCAAGACAGGGUCUCAUGUUAUCCAAGAUCAUCCUGCCUCAGCUUCCCAAGUACUGGGAUUAAAGACGCGGGAAACCGAGGACCAGGGGAUCAGAGGACCCACUCAGAGUCCUCAGCCGGAGGGUGCGGUAGAAUCGGCCUUUUGCAACCCCGACACUCGGGUCCUUGCUUCGCCAUGGCGCAAACGGGGUAAACCGGGAAACAGGCUGGGAGAAGCUACCUGCACCCCUGCGGUUCCCCAGUUACCACACCGGAGUCUGUAACCCUGGGAAGAAGUGGACUUGCAGCCGGGCAGCCGCGGAGAGUUGCGAUCCCUGGCCUGAGCCUCAGUUUGUUCAUCUGUAGAAGGGACCGGAGGCAGGAACUAACCGCUAGCGGCGCCCAGGCAAGUGGCCGGGCUGAGUCCCUCUCUGGGGUCCCCGGUAACGCGGUGGGCGCUAGGUACACAGACUCGGGAUCAGGGGAUGGUCCCCCAGCCUCAUUUUCCCCAUGUGUCCAACGGGGACCUCUCCCUUCCCAUCCGGUGCACCACUCUGUGAGAAGCGGGUGGGCAGCGGGCUGGACCUGACUCCCGCUUCCGGACCGCCUCGCCCUGCCUCAGUUUCCCCACCCCGCAGGACGCGCCGGCACCCGCACUCCGGCCUCACC
This is a long non-coding RNA of Nannospalax galili (Upper Galilee mountains blind mole rat), 1980 nucleotides long. RefSeq lists it as uncharacterized. The record is from RefSeq and is a predicted model, not a curated record. Lineage: Eukaryota; Metazoa; Chordata; Mammalia; Rodentia; Spalacidae. The transcript has 3 exons.